This 714-nucleotide unclassified non-coding RNA is filed under the name Machaerina teretifolia. Its description in RNAcentral is "Baumea teretifolia partial miscellaneous RNA". The record is from RNAcentral. Lineage: Eukaryota; Viridiplantae; Streptophyta; Magnoliopsida; Poales; Cyperaceae.
AAAACAAAUAAGACUUUUUUGUCUUAGGGUAUAGAAAUUUGUAAAGGAAAUAGGAAUACCCAAUAUAUUGGUUUUUCCGACCAUUAUAUUGGGUAAGGAGAGAAAAAUACCCGGGGGUCUCUAAAACCCCUCGAUUGGGUAGGUCUCUAAAAUCUCUUUACUUUAUUGGAUAAGCAUACUCAGUUGGUCUAAAAACCCAAUAUGGUAAGUAAAGAAAAGUAAUUGAUCUAGAAAAGUUAAGCAAUAUGGAGUUAAGCAAUAUGGUAAGGAAAGAGAAAUACUCAAUAUAUGGGUCUUAAAAAUCCAUGGGUAUUUCUCUUUUUUUUUUUGCUUCGUUUGCUCUCUAUUUUUUUUUCUUCUUCAUUACAGAUUUAUUAUCGUUAUCGUUUCUUGCAUCUCUCGCGAAAUUCCGGGUAGGCNACGAAUUCUCCCAAUUUGUGACCUAUCAUAGAAUCCAUUAUAUAAAUAGGUAAAUGUUCCUUUCCAUUAUGAAUACCGAUUGUAUGGCCAACCAUUGAGGGUAUAAUGGUAGAUGCCCGAGACCAAGUGACUAUUAUUUCUUUCUCCUCCCCCAUUUUGAUUUUUUGAAUUUUUUCCGAUAAAUGCUUAGCUACAAAUCUUUUUUCUUGACGUAUCACAGCUGAUUACUCCUUUUUUUCCAUGUUAAAGAUUGGCAUUCUAUGUCCAAUAUCUUGAUCUAAGUAUGGAGGUCAG